UUCGAGACCAGCCUGGACAACAUUGCAAGACCUCAUCUCUACAAAAAAUUUUAAAAUUAGCUGGGCUGGUUAUGCAGGCUUGUAGUCUCAGCUACUCAGGAGGCUGGGGUGGGAAGAUUGAGCCCAGGAGUUCAAAGCUGCAGUAAGUUGUGAUCAUACCACUGCACUCCAGCCUGUGUACCAGAACAAGGCCCUGUCUCCAGAAAAAAAAGUGAUGAUGUAGGACAUAAGGUGGAAGAGGAACUAUGAAGGGCCUUAUAUUCCAGGCUAAAAAUUAACUGACCACAAUUAAGGCUGCCUAGGGGAAUAAUGAAGUAAUCCUCCUAUUAUCAGCAAUGGUCUGAUCCAGUGCCAGGCACCACAGACAACUUGGUGUUCAGAGAAGAUCCUUCAAGAUGAACAAAGGGUCAAAAUAAAAAAUUCUAGAAGAGAGAAGACUGAUCACAAUUUAAUGUAAGGCUUGGAAGGAACUGAUCUCUACCUUCCUUAACAUCUCAAGAACUUCCUCAGAUUCAUUGGAUGUUGAGUGUGUGUGAGUCUAGUAGAAAAAUGAAUUUUUGUUUCUUAACUUGGAUAUGUGAUUAGGAUGUUAAUAAUUAAGUCUGGGCUAAUAUUGAAGGUAUCUUAUGAUGGGCUUCUUAAAGCAUUGAUCACAAAGACUGCAUGUUCAUAAACUGAGCUGCACUUGUUAGGAUUCUAGAUGUUUGAAAUUUCUUGUGUUAUUUUGGUCUCAGAUUUCUAGACAAAUUUUCUCAAAUUCCUAUUUCACUUUUUGACAUAUCAUGAGUGACUCAAAUGUUUGCCCUUGAGUCGGAAAACACCCAGCAUUAGGAAUAGGCACAUAAACAUAAUACUUCAAGCUUCAGAUUUAAGCUCAAUUAUAAAGUGUUUAAAGGCUGUGCUGAUAGUUCUUCUGAGUAGAAUUCCUACAACUAUGGGUUUGUCUAUAAUAAAAUGUUCACUCUAUAUUGAAC
RNAcentral lists this long non-coding RNA (974 nucleotides) under Homo sapiens (human). RNAcentral describes it as "HSALNT0076151". The record is from RNAcentral. Lineage: Eukaryota; Metazoa; Chordata; Mammalia; Primates; Hominidae.